This 262-nucleotide unclassified non-coding RNA is filed under the name fungal sp. RNAcentral's name for it is "partial internal transcribed spacer region". The stretch from base 1 to 46 matches the Rfam family "Eukaryotic small subunit ribosomal RNA", at positions 1786 to 1831 of the family's 1831-position model. Lineage: Eukaryota; Fungi. The record is from RNAcentral.
AAGUCGUAACAAGGUCUCCGUAGGUGAACCUGCGGAGGGAUCAUUCACAUGAUAUCUUUUUCAAAAAACAAACUGUGAACUUUUUAUUAACUAUUCUACAUAACUAUAUUUUUGUUAUGUUUCCAUUCGAUGAACAUUAGAUAGUUGGCUUGUUAUAUAUAUAUAACUUUCUCAGCUUUGAUCUUGUUAAUUCUAAACAAAUUAAUAUCAAAUCAAACCAUAAACAUAGAAACAACUCUAUGCCCUGGAUAUCUUGGUUCUC